GACGAACGCUGGCGGCGUGCUUAACACAUGCAAGUCGAACGGAAAGGCCCUGCUUUUGUGGGGUGCUCGAGUAGCGAACGGGUGAGUAACACGUGAGUAACCUGCCCUUGACUUUGGGAUAACUUCAGGAAACUGGGGCUAAUACCGGAUAGGAGCUCCUGCUGCAUGGUGGGGGUUGGAAAGUUUCGGCGGUUGGGGAUGGACUCGCGGCUUAUCAGCUUGUUGGUGGGGUAGUGGCUUACCAAGGCUUUGACGGGUAGCCGGCCUGAGAGGGUGACCGGCCACAUUGGGACUGAGAUACGGCCCAGACUCCUACGGGAGGCAGCAGUGGGGAAUAUUGCACAAUGGGCGGAAGCCUGAUGCAGCAACGCCGCGUGCGGGAUGACGGCCUUCGGGUUGUAAACCGCUUUCGCCUGUGACGAAGCGUAAGUGACGGUAAUGGGUAAAGAAGCACCGGCUAACUACGUG
Molecule: ribosomal RNA, 468 nt
Filed under: uncultured bacterium
Lineage: Bacteria
Description: partial 16S ribosomal RNA
Rfam family: Bacterial small subunit ribosomal RNA
Source: RNAcentral